GGGUGCAAGCGUUAUCCGGAAUCAUUGGGUUUAAAGGGUCCGCAGGCGGUCAAUUAAGUCAGAGGUGAAAUCCCAUAGCUUAACUAUGGAACUGCCUUUGAUACUGGUUGACUUGAGUUAUACGGAAGUAGAUAGAAUAAGUAGUGUAGCGGUGAAAUGCAUAGAUAUUACAUAGAAUACCAAUUGCGAAGGCAGAUUACUAAUAAUCAACUGACACUGAUGGACGAAAGCGUGGGUAGCGAACAGGAUUAGAUACCCUGGUAGUCCACGCCGUAAACGAUGGUUACUAGCUGUUUGGACCUUGUGUCUGAGUGGCUAAGCGAAAGUGAUAAGUAACCCACCUGGGGAGUACGUUCGCAAGAAUGAAACUCAAAGGAAUUGACGGGGGCCCGCACAAGCGGUGGAGCAUGUGGUUUAAUUCGAUGAUACGCGAGGAACCUUACCAGGGCUUAAAUGUAAGUUGCAUUAGUUAGAGAUAACUAUUUCUUCGGACCACUUACAAGGUGCUGCAUGGUU
This 516-nucleotide ribosomal RNA is filed under the name uncultured Flavobacteriaceae bacterium. RNAcentral describes it as "bacterial SSU rRNA". It matches the Rfam family "Bacterial small subunit ribosomal RNA", at positions 530 to 1050 of the family's 1533-position model. The record is from RNAcentral. Lineage: Bacteria; Pseudomonadati; Bacteroidota; Flavobacteriia; Flavobacteriales; Flavobacteriaceae.